AAGUCGUAACAAGGUCUCCGUUGGUGAACCAGCGGAGGGAUCAUUACUGAGUACUACACUCUCUACCCUUUGUGAACUAUUAUACCUGUUGCUUCGGCGGCGCCCGCGAGGGUGCCCGCCGGUCUCAUCAGAAUCUCUGUUUUCGAACCCGACGAUACUUCUGAGUGUUCUUAGCGAACUGUCAAAACUUUUAACAACGGAUCUCUUGGCUCCA
RNAcentral lists this unclassified non-coding RNA (214 nucleotides) under Plectosphaerella cucumerina. Its description in RNAcentral is "partial internal transcribed spacer region". The stretch from base 1 to 46 matches the Rfam family "Eukaryotic small subunit ribosomal RNA", at positions 1786 to 1831 of the family's 1831-position model. Lineage: Eukaryota; Fungi; Ascomycota; Sordariomycetes; Glomerellales; Plectosphaerellaceae. The record is from RNAcentral. RNAcentral also lists the same sequence under 3 other names.